Molecule: ribosomal RNA, 389 nt
Filed under: uncultured bacterium
Lineage: Bacteria
Description: bacterial SSU rRNA
Rfam family: Bacterial small subunit ribosomal RNA
Source: RNAcentral
AUUGAACGCUGGCGGCAUGCCUUACACAUGCAAGUCGAACGGCAGCACGGGAGCAAUCCUGGUGGCGAGUGGCGAACGGGUGAGUAAUAUAUCGGAACGUGCCCAGUCGUGGGGGAUAACGUAGCGAAAGCUACGCUAAUACCGCAUACGAUCUAUGGAUGAAAGCGGGGGAUCGCAAGACCUCGCGCGAUUGGAGCGGCCGAUAUCAGAUUAGGUAGUUGGUGAGGUAAAGGCUCACCAAGCCGACGAUCUGUAGCUGGUCUGAGAGGACGACCAGCCACACUGGGACUGAGACACGGCCCAGACUCCUACGGGAGGCAGCAGUGGGGAAUUUUGGACGAAUGGGCGCAAGCCUGAUCCAGCAAUGCCGCGUGCAGGAUGAAGGCCUU